RNAcentral lists this ribosomal RNA (429 nucleotides) under Actinomycetes bacterium. Its description in RNAcentral is "Actinobacteria bacterium partial 16S ribosomal RNA". It matches the Rfam family "Bacterial small subunit ribosomal RNA", at positions 355 to 776 of the family's 1533-position model. Lineage: Bacteria; Bacillati; Actinomycetota; Actinomycetes. The record is from RNAcentral.
UAGGGAAUCUUCCGCAAUGGGCGAAAGCCUGACGGAGCAACGCCGCGUGAGUGAUGAAGGUCUUCGGAUCGUAAAACUCUGUUAUUAGGGAAGAACAAAUGUGUAAGUAACUAUGCACGUCUUGACGGUACCUAAUCAGAAAGCCACGGCUAACUACGAGCCAGCAGCCGCGGUAAUACGUAGGUGGCAAGCGUUAUCCGGAAUUAUUGGGCGUAAAGCGCGCGUAGGCGGUUUUUUAAGUCUGAUGUGAAAGCCCACGGCUCAACCGUGGAGGGUCAUUGGAAACUGGAAAACUUGAGUGCAGAAGAGGAAAGUGGAAUUCCAUGUGUAGCGGUGAAAUGCGCAGAGAUAUGGAGGAACACCAGUGGCGAAGGCGACUUUCUGGUCUGUAACUGACGCUGAUGUGCGAAAGCGUGGGGAUCAAACAGG